AUGGCGUCGUCGAUGCGCCGCCCUGCCGACUGGUUCCUGCACGACUGGGUCGAGAGGCUCGACACUCAGCGUCCGCCGACUCCGACGCCUCCCCGCCACGCCUCCGGCUGCAAGGCCGGCCGCGGCGGAGGCUCUCCUCCUUCGCCGCCGCGGCGAGCACCCCGAGUACCUUCCCCACCACGCCCGUCGGCGCGGCGGGGCCGGUGCCAGGUCCACUACGGGAUCCAGUCAGCCGCGCCACCGCACCGGCUCCAGGCGCGCGUCACCUCCCCGGCGGACCACCGGAACGCCUCCGCGUUCAGACAGCGGAAUCCCUCCUCGCGCUCGCCUGUGCACAGAGGACUCAACGUCUUCAAUCGAUUCGCUCUCUUAGCGAUGGCGAGUGACUACGAGAGGGAGUUUCCGGUGUUGCCUGCUGCAACCGGAAGCAUCAGCGACAAGGAGGCGAAGCAGCGGGGGGAAUCUCCUAUCAAGCAUUCGAACAACAAGCUCCGGGGAGGCGUUAGGAGGGCUCCGCAGGUGCAGCACGUUACGAAGGCCGUCGCCGAGCCCGCGGUCAAGGCCAAGGGAGACGCUGAGCUGACGAAGGGCGAGAGCCAGGGCCACGCCGAGGCGGGGAUCAAGGUCGAGGGCCACGCCGAGCUGGCGAAGGGCGAGAGCGAGCGCCAAGCCGAGGCGCCGAUCAAGGCCAAGGGCCACGCCGAACUGGCGAAGGGCGAGAGCGAGGGCCAAGCCGAGGCGUCGAUCAAGGUCGAGGGCCAGGCCGAGCUGACGAAGGGCGAGAGCGAGGACCACGCCGAUGCGGCGACCAAGGCCGCGGGCGACGCCAAGGUGUCGGUCAAGAGCGACAAGGCCGCACGCAACGUCCCCGACCUCGCCGGCGAGCUCAAUGGCCAGGACUUCUUCGUCGGUUCGAUUCUAGUAAGAUGCGGCCCCCCAGUUGCCGUUGUCGCGGGAGGUGUUGAGGGCUGCCGUCGCGGAGGGCCUGGCGGAGGCAGUGGGGGAGUACAUGCUGGAGGUGGUGAUGGAUGCGGUGGCGGAGGGCCAGUACCCGAUGGCGGCGGAGGCGGUGUGGGAGGGGGAGGACCGGCCGAUGGCGGCGGGGGUGGUGGGGGAGGAGGACCCCCCGGUGGCGGCGGAGGCGGCCCGCCGCCUCCCCAACCACCCUAUCCACAGCGUCUACCGUUCGCCAGAUGCCAGCGGGCAGGCUGUGGCGUCGACGCCCUGUUCUUUUGCUCGCAGUGCGGGCUGGUUUGCUGUCCGGAGCACGUCUGCCCGGACUGCACCGCGCCACUCUCCGAGCUGCCGGCGCCUCGCCUCUCGGUGCCGCAGGUACAAAUUUACCAGCCCUUUCAGUACCCACCAACUCUCCAGCUAUUCGUCGGUGCGUUUCGUGUGGGAAAUCGUGUUAGUCAUUACUUUGCAAGACCCCAAGAUGUGUUUGGGCAUGGUGAUGUCAUUGCUGGAGAAGCGCAACACUUUGACAUGCAGGGUUUUUGGAUGGUUAGAUCUGUCCGCGAGGCGCCCUGCAUUCUCCGCAGGGUCAACAUGUUUCCUGAGCCCCAGUUUUAUUCAUGGUAG
Molecule: ribosomal RNA, 1581 nt
Filed under: Triticum aestivum (bread wheat)
Lineage: Eukaryota; Viridiplantae; Streptophyta; Magnoliopsida; Poales; Poaceae
Description: partial small subunit ribosomal RNA
Source: RNAcentral